GAUGAACGCUGGCGGCGUGCCUAAUACAUGCAAGUCGAGCGAACAGACGAGGAGCUUGCUCCUCUGACGUUAGCGGCGGACGGGUGAGUAACACGUGGAUAACCUACCUAUAAGACUGGGAUAACUUCGGGAAACCGGAGCUAAUACCGGAUAAUAUAUUUAACCGCAUGGUUCAAUAGUGAAAGACGGUUUUGCUGUCACUUAUAGAUGGAUCCGUGCCGCAUUAGCUAGUUGGUAAGGUAACGGCUUACCAAGGCAACGUUGCGUAGCCGACCUGAGAGGGUGAUCGGCCACACAGGAACUGAGACACGUUCCAGCUACAUACGGGAGGCAGCAGUAGGGAAUCUUCCGCAAUGGGCGAAAGCAUGACGGAGCAACGCCGCGUGAGUGAUGAAGGUCUUCGGAUCGUAAAUCUCUGUUAUUAGGGAAGAACAAAUGUGUAAGUAACGAUGCACGUCUUGACGGUACCUAAUCAGAAAGCCACGGCUAACUACGC
RNAcentral lists this ribosomal RNA (496 nucleotides) under uncultured bacterium. RNAcentral's name for it is "partial 16S ribosomal RNA". It matches the Rfam family "Bacterial small subunit ribosomal RNA", at positions 28 to 506 of the family's 1533-position model. The record is from RNAcentral.